AUGCUGUGGUUUUCAGUGUGUGCAGACGAGGGAGGCCAAGAGAGAUCUGGAGGAUAUUAAGAAAGAAGCACCUCUUGCAUUUGGUGACUGGUUUGGAGAAAAGGAGUGGUGCCUGUAGAUGUUUGGACGGGGGUGGCCGCUCCCACAGAUGACAUUACAGGAGGAGAAGCAGGUAGGAAGUGAACGGUGUGGAGUUUGACCCUGGCAACUUUGAGAUAAGGGUAGGCAGUCUGAGAUGCAGGAGGAAGUUGGAGGUAGAGGACGUACUAGUGUGGUGAUGCUGGUUGAAGACAGGAGUGUGUUUAAACCUGGUGAACACUGAAGGACGCACCUGCUGUGUCGUCAGCUUUCACUCAAUUAAAAAAAGCUUAGGGGAUGUCUGCUGUGGUCCCAGAACCUCUGCAGUGACUCUGUUAGCCCUCUGCAGAAGCCUGCAAGGAAGAAUUUGUUUCCCGCUCCCGGGCCAAGCUGAAGAAAGGAUGUAGCUUCCCAUAUUUGUGACCCUGAAGAAGUUGCCUUUCCCAUGGCUCCCUCCUGAAAGAAGUCACGGAAAAUUUCUCAAGGAGUUCAAAGCUGGAGUCUGGAUCCUCUCACAGCAGCUUUCAGAGCCCAGGGGUAGAGCUCAGGAAUCCUCCUUUCUGAGCCUGUGGCCCCCUGCUGCGCGGCCCUCUCCUUGCCCUGAAAAGUCACUGCUCACCCGCCAUGUUUGUUCUUGACCCUAGACCCAGUGAAAGCCCCUGUCCUGGCCUCAGCUCACAUGAAAAGGCACAGGUUACAAUAAUCAGGGAACAAUACGUGUAUCUUCAGGACAUGCCAAGCUUAACCACCGAAGAGAGCUUGGGAUUUGGAGUAUCUGGCAAGGACAGUCACAGUGCCUUCCUGUAUGUCGCUGUUGCUCAUGCAGGUUAAGCAGACCAGCACGUGAUGAUUUAGAUAACUGUGCUGUGACGCGCUUCCUGCCACGCUCAUCCUGCACUUCUGAGGCUCCCUGGCGGACCCCCUCAUGCCCUCCUGAUGCAGUGGACUACUUCAUGACCGGUGGACACCUGCAGAGCUGAAAACCUGACCCUAGGGAGGCUGCUGUCUCUUCCCCCUGAGAGAACAGGGAAGGCUCUCACCUUAGAAGCACAGUCAUGGUAGUAGCUCUGGUUGUCUCUGUGGCCAGAGGGUAGUGAAGGGGGCACAGGUAGCAUUUGGGGAUGACCGGAAGAACACAGACCUGAGGUGGGGUGAUGGUGGAGCAUCUGGGCUAUUGUGUGGGGCUGGAUGCUGGAUAUGGACCCUUGGGCACAGGGUCUGUUAAGGGAUGGGAUGCAGGAAGCCCAGGGGGAGCAUUCACCAAGGGCUCAGGUUUAGAUUUUUAUAUGAUAGCAAUAAAUAUGGGCAUGGAGAUACAGGGACAGGACUGAAAGGCUUUCUGUCCCUUAAAACUGGCAGCUCCUGGCUUUCAGCUCUUAUGAUGGGUCAAGCACAGCCGCUGCUCACAAGUAAGAGAAUAGUGUGGGGUUAAAAUUUAUAGAACCUACAGUGUUUAUAAUACACUGGAAAAAAUAUGCACAUACACCCAUACAAUAUAUAUAUUACAUAUUACAUACAAUAUAUAUGCCAUUAAAUUCUGUACUCUUAUGUGGCUUGUACUUUUGUGUUCAUAUAAUAAUUUGCUCAAUGUAAUGAUUUAGAUGACGUCAGAAGUUUUGUGAUCAGUGUCUGGAACAUUCCUUUUCUGACUGGCUGUGAGGCGCAGCCCCUGGAGGCCUAGCUGGCCCUUCUUUGCCAGCAGGGCCUGUGGGGAGAUGGCUGGUCCCUCUGAGCCUUCCUCUGCAGAUGGUGGGCUUGAGGUUGUCCAGGCUGCCAAUAGGACACCAUCUUUUUUUUGUUGUUAAGAAAAAAAAAAAAAAUCAGUAAAUGUCUCAUCUGCCCAUCCAGAAAGAUGGGGACCAAAUGAACAGUGUUUACCUCUUGGGAGAGUGGAAGGAUAUCUGCAUUUUUAUAUAUUGUGUGUUUCAGUGCACCAAAAGAGUGAGAGUUAUGAUUUUUUCCUUUUGUGGUUUUCUGUACCUUUAAAUAAAUAAAAUUAAAAAUAAAGCCCAGUCACUGCAUUCUGGGAAUAUUUGUGCUGAGUAGUCAUGUUCUAAGGUCACGGAGAUAGGGUUUCCCCGACUCAGAAAGCCUGUCAGCACAAAUGCACUGACUCCUGUGGCUUCCCCUAUUGCCUCUGCCAAGCCUGGGACCCUGAUUGCCCAUCUUCUGUUGGAGGUGAGGAGUCCUUUCAUGGUUCCUCUUGAACUUUAGGACAACUUAGGUGCCCUGAAGUACUUAAGGAGUCCUUUUUUGGAAGGGAGUUAUUGAAAUUGUGCCGAUUUUUUUCCAGAGGUGGACCCUAAGCUCCAGAUGACAAGUGCUUCCGCGCGGAGAGGGUGGUUCCGAGUCCUUGGUGAAAGGGAUCUGGAGUUUGGUGCCUCUCCUUUUCUCCUAAAAACAGAUAGGUGGUUCAGACCACGGAGGGUUUCUAUUUUUGGCGGGAGAAGAAACACGGAACUCCACCACUGCGGGACAUCCUUAACAACAGCAGGCCGACUGAGGGAAAAUGGAAAUGGAUCAUAUUUUAAAACAGUGUUAGGGGUGUUGUUCCCAGACCACAGCCCAGCAGGGAUAUUUUAUCCGGUCCUCAGUGCAGGUCUGCCCCCUAUGGGCCAGAUUCUCGAUUUAUUAGUUUCAUCAAGUCUGGUAAGGCUCAGAAGAUGCGUCUUUA
Long non-coding RNA from Enhydra lutris kenyoni (northern sea otter), 2752 nucleotides. RefSeq lists it as uncharacterized. The record is from RefSeq and is a predicted model, not a curated record. NCBI's taxonomy places the organism in Eukaryota, Metazoa, Chordata, Mammalia, Carnivora, Mustelidae. The transcript is spliced from 3 exons.